UCUCACGUGUCUGGUGGUGGUGGACUCAGGGGAACCCUAGGCGGAGUGAGGACACAUGGGCUUUCUUGGGCCUCGACGCUUGGAGCCUUUGGACCGUUGGGUAAACAGCAGCACAGAUGAUGACAGAAUACCGAUACCACUGUCUCCAACUCUCAAUACAGCAUACAACAAGAUCCAACAGCUGGUUUUUGGUUCAUCCCGUGGAUAUUGUAUGGACGUCUUGGAUCUACUUCCAUGUGCUCUGACCACGUCAAAGUACAUCUAGUAGGUAACGUAUCAUGGUCCUUGUGGCACCUUCACAACCCAACUUAACCAUAUCUAUUUUUAAGUUCAAAAUCAUAUAAUAUUAUGACCCGACUAAUAAGUUCAAUUUUUAAAUUUGCUAGGCUAAAUUAGAGGUCCUUUACUAC
Molecule: long non-coding RNA, 410 nt
Filed under: Setaria italica (foxtail millet)
Lineage: Eukaryota; Viridiplantae; Streptophyta; Magnoliopsida; Poales; Poaceae
Description: long non-coding RNA (SITA_LNC003831)
Source: RNAcentral